AUUGAACGCUGGCGGCAGGCCUAACACAUGCAAGUCGAACGAGUGGCGGACGGGUGAGUAAUGUCUGGGAAACUGCCUGAUGGAGGGGGAUAACUACUGGAAACGGUAGCUAAUACCGCAUAACACCAGAUGUGCCCAGAUGGGAGUGGCUUGUUGGUGGGGUAAAGGCUCACCAAGGCGAAGAUCCCUAGCUGGUCCGAGAGGGUGAACAGCCACACUGGAACUGCGACACGGUCCAGACCCCUACGGGAGGCAGCAUUGGGGAAUAUUGCACAAUGGGCGCAAGCCUGAUGCAGCCAUGCCGCGUGUAUGAAGAAGGCCUUCGGGUUGUAAAGUACUGUCAGCGGGGAGGCGUUACCCACAGAAUAAGCCCCGGCUAACUCCGUGCCAGCAGCCGCGGUAAUUC
RNAcentral lists this ribosomal RNA (406 nucleotides) under uncultured bacterium. RNAcentral describes it as "partial 16S ribosomal RNA". It matches the Rfam family "Bacterial small subunit ribosomal RNA", at positions 30 to 526 of the family's 1533-position model. The record is from RNAcentral.